Molecule: long non-coding RNA, 725 nt
Organism: Leucoraja erinaceus (little skate)
Lineage: Eukaryota; Metazoa; Chordata; Chondrichthyes; Rajiformes; Rajidae
Exons: 3
Source: RefSeq, a predicted model, not a curated record
CCACAGCAUUGGCCACAAUGAGGUGAUCGGGAUGUGCCGGGUUGGGAACGCCGCUGACGGUCCGGGGCGGGAACACUGGAACGAGAUGCUGGCAAACCCGCGCAAACCCAUUGAGCAGUGGCACCAGCUGAUCGAGGAGAAGGUGAUGAACAGCUACAUGACAAAGAGUUUCCCCUCGGGUUCUGGAGCCACCAAACCAGUCAGCAUUGUGGUGGAGAGCCCUCAUUCAGACUGAUGUUACAGCUUCACAUCCGUACCAUGGACUCAAGAAGCCAGCAGUGCAAUAUUUUCUUUUUCUUCAAUUUGUAAAUCCUUCACCACGAGAGAGAAAGAGGGAGAAGGAAAGAGAGAGAAUUGGAGCGACUGGGAGAUGAGGAAGAGACUCUCCCACCCACCGUUCUGAGGGACCCCCGCCCACUGAGGGACCCCCGCCAUCGACCAGAGAGAGAGCAAGACUCGGGGGGUUGUCCACGUUCCAUUACACCCGCCUCCCUGCAUCGGAGAGGGCCCUCGGCCUGCGAUGUGACCCCUCCCUCACUCCCCCCACCAACAUUUCUCCAUGGCCACUGGACCCGGGGCCCAAGAGGACAGUUCAGAGAGUCUCAUCGACAGAAAUUGUCAUUUUCCGAGCGAAAAAAAAAUGUCACUUCAAACACAUGUGUCACCAUGUUGUGGAUGUGUGUGCCUUGUCAUACAUGUGGGACAUUCCACCUCCAUCUAUGCCC